AUGGUUCUGGGUUUGAGCUUGCCAUACAGAGGCCCCAUCUCUUCUCACUGUCCCCAGGUGCAUCACUAUCGCCCCAUUUCCCAUUGUUGCUUUCCAUUGUUCUCUAAGGUUGCCUCCUCCUCACGAGGCUCGGGUUCUUUCAGCCUUAUUAUCCCUGCCUUCACCGAUCCCCAGGCUGCCAGGGCGGCUGCCCUCAUCCUGAUCCAUCCCCAUGCAGUACUCCCAUCAGAGGGUGCCCACUGCCCUCCCACAGCUCAGAAGCACAGGGCAGAUGAGGGAUUGCUGCCUGCAGCAUUCAUUAGAGAAAAUCCCUCUCCCUGCGCAUUACCAGGGAGGCAGGAGCAGUGCUGCACAGGUUCAUUGUUUAAGUGCUUUCUGGGCUCGCAGCUCUCUAACAAAGAUGCACUCGGUCAAGCCUGCAGCCUCCACUCCAGCUCCUGCCUGCAGUCAGGCUGGGGGCUGUGUGGGGGUGGGGUGGGGGUGCAGCAGGACAGGGGAAUUGAGGCUGUGUGGGCUGAGGCUGGAGGAGGGAGGAGUGCUGGGUUGGAAGGAGAACUUGAAGAACAUCAGGUGCCUCUGGAGACAUCCCAUCCCAGCCUGGGGCAGGCUGCUUUGCCUGACCUGUGCCCAGCAUUUUCCUGCCUCUCCUUAACCUCCUCCCCAGAUCAUCUUCCACUGUUCUCCUGCCCUUUCUGCCAGAAAACUUUUCUUGACUGGCUUGUGCCUGCCUUGUGUGGCUCCACCAGCCACUGCCCACUGGAGCAGGAGUCGCUCUCUGUGUCACUGCUGGGGCCUGUCCUGCCCGGGGAGGCUGCAAGCACAGCUCCCUGCUCUCAGCAUUUGGAUGGCCUUGUCUUCCUCAAACUUUGCUCUCCUGAUGGAUUUCCCAGACAUCUGGUCCUUGCUCCUCUGUCCAGAAGGUCAUGGCACGGAGCACUGUGCUCCCCUCUUGCACCCCAAUGUUGUGCUCUGAGCAGGAUGAGGCUGCUCUCCCCAGCCAGGCUUUUGGGUUCUCUCUACAACAAAAGGCAUUUGCACUUGCCCUGA
Molecule: long non-coding RNA, 1047 nt
Filed under: Pavo cristatus (Indian peafowl)
Lineage: Eukaryota; Metazoa; Chordata; Aves; Galliformes; Phasianidae
Description: lncRNA (ENSPSTG00000017779.1)
Source: RNAcentral